This 344-nucleotide unclassified non-coding RNA is filed under the name Lepiota sp. Its description in RNAcentral is "partial internal transcribed spacer region". The stretch from base 1 to 46 matches the Rfam family "Eukaryotic small subunit ribosomal RNA", at positions 1786 to 1831 of the family's 1831-position model. The record is from RNAcentral. Lineage: Eukaryota; Fungi; Basidiomycota; Agaricomycetes; Agaricales; Agaricaceae.
AAGUCGUAACAAGGUUUCCGUAGGUGAACCUGCGGAAGGAUCAUUAUUGAAUAAACUUGGUGGGUUGUAGCUGGCUUCUCGAAGCAUGUGCACGUCCACCAUCUUUAUACAUCAUCCCCUGUGCACCUUUUGUAGUCUUGCGAAAUGGGAACAGCAAACUCUCGAUAAGCCUUUUCGGAUAUGGGGAAUGCAGCGUGAAAGCGUGGCUCUUCCCAAAAUGCUUGUGAUCAAUUUGCUCGACUAUGUCUUUUCAUAUACCAUGUAGUAUGUUGCAGAAUGUAUCAAUUGGGACACUGUGCCUAUAAAACACAAUACAACUUUCAGCAACGGAUCUCUUGGCUCUC